This 816-nucleotide long non-coding RNA is filed under the name Equus caballus (horse). Its description in RNAcentral is "lncRNA (ENSECAG00000048360.1)". Lineage: Eukaryota; Metazoa; Chordata; Mammalia; Perissodactyla; Equidae. The record is from RNAcentral.
UCCACAUUUGUCAUACUAUGGGGACAUAAAUUCAUAAGCUGUGUAUAAGAUCUUUCUAGCAUUGACUACAGUCAUUUCAGGCUAAGAUACUUUUUAGGCUAAAGAUCAGAUAAUUGAGAUAUAGCCCGCUAAAAGAGAAGGUUUUAUAAGAAUUCAUAUAUAAGAACAGUAUCGAUUUCCUGAUGGAUAUUUCUCUGGAAAACAAAAACCUCAUUUAUAUGCAGGCAGAUUAAGCAGUAAAUGAAAGACGAGACACGAGUCUUCCGGCCACCGCUUCCCGUCAGGCUGAGGUGUUCUUCCGAGAGUGAAACUGCUGAGAUUGGGAAGAAUCCCACCCUGGAAUAGGGGGGAUGUAGUCCACGGCCAAGGACACAGAGAGAGUGAUCAGAGAAAACAUCAAGUCUUGCUGCUGUUCUACUCAAGCUGCCCCACCUCCCACCUCUAUUUCCUUCAGACAUGACAGUUAACCGACGGAACACAAAUAUCACACUGCGUCCAGCCCUCCAGCUAAAAGUCUAAAGGAAAAAGACAUAUUGAAGACUCCUCCUCUCAUUGGAUAACAUUUCUCUGUGGAUAAACAAGACGGCUUGACUGUUGCUGUGUAUCCAGGACUGCAUUUAAGUGUCAGGAAGUGUUAAAAUAAUCAGACAACUCGUUCUCCUCAUGCAGCAUAUACAUCUCUGAAAUAAUUUUAAGUAAUGAAAUAUUUUAAAGUAAGCUGGGUUGUUGUAUGAAUGAAACUGGCACCCUUCUCCCUGCUGUAACAGGCGAAUCUAGCAAGCGAGCUGUGGAGGCGUGAAGUCAGUACAAUAAAAU